UAGGUAAUCUUCCGCAAUGGACGAAAGUCUGACGGAGCAACGCCGCGUGAGUGAAGAAGGAUUUCGGUUCGUAAAACUCUGUUGUUAGGGAAGAAAAAAUGUAUAGUAACUAUAUACAAAAGAGACGGUACCUAACCAGAAAGCCACGGCUAACUACGUGCCAGCAGCCGCGGUAAUACGUAGGUGGCAAGCGUUGUCCGGAAUUAUUGGGCGUAAAGCGCGCGCAGGUGGUUUAGAAAGUCUGAUGUGAAAGCCCACGGCUCAACCGUGGAGGGUCAUUGGAAACUAAUAAACUUGAGUGCAGGAGAGAAAAGUGGAAUUCCUAGUGUAGCGGUGAAAUGCGUAGAGAUUAGGAGGAACACCGGUGGCGAAAGCGGCUUUUUGGCCUGCAACUGACACUGAGGCGCGAAAGCGUGGGGAGCAAACAGG
This 429-nucleotide ribosomal RNA is filed under the name Verrucomicrobiota bacterium. RNAcentral's name for it is "Verrucomicrobia bacterium partial 16S ribosomal RNA". It matches the Rfam family "Bacterial small subunit ribosomal RNA", at positions 355 to 776 of the family's 1533-position model. Lineage: Bacteria; Pseudomonadati; Verrucomicrobiota. The record is from RNAcentral.